AGGGAUCAUUACCGAGUUUACAACUCCCAAACCCCUGUGAACAUACCAUUUGUUGCCUCGGCGGUGCCUGCUUCGGCAGCCCGCCAGAGGACCCAAACCCUUGAUUUUAUACAGUAUCUUCUGAGUAAAUGAUUAAAUAAAUCAAAACUUUCAACAACGGAUCUCUUGGUUCUG
Molecule: unclassified non-coding RNA, 174 nt
Filed under: uncultured fungus
Lineage: Eukaryota; Fungi
Description: partial contains 5.8S ribosomal RNA, internal transcribed spacer 2, and large subunit ribosomal RNA
Source: RNAcentral